AAUAUAAAAUGUUCAUAUUUACAUUUACACUACAUGUAAUGUUAUAUUUAUGUUUAAUUCCAAUACAACUCAUCCUACAAUGUUUCACUGAUCGAAUAAGUGCUGUACAGAUUAAUAAUAAAAAAUAAUAAUUGAAAACAGAUACAGAGUAAUCAAUACAUAUUCAUGGGAGAAGUGGAGGAGCUAGGUCAGUGAUUUAACAUCUGUCUAUGUGCUGUGUGAGGAGAGGAGGAGCUAGGUCAGUGAUUUAACAUCUGUCUAUGUGCUGUGUGAGGAGAGGAGGAGCUAGGUUAGUGAUUUAACAUCUGUCUAUGUGCUGUGUGAGGAGAGGAGGAGCUAGGUUAGUGAUUUAACAUCUGUCUAUGUGCUGUGUGAGGGGAGGAGGAGCUAGGUUAGUGAUUUAACAUCUGUCUAUGUGCUGUGUGAGGGGAGGAGGAGCUAGGUUAGUGAUUUAACAUCUGUCUAUGUGCUGUGUGAGGGGAGGAGGAGCUAGGUUAGUGAUUUAACAUCUGUCUAUGUGCUGUGUGAGGAGAGGAGGAGCUAGGUUAGUGAUUUAACAUCUGUCUAUGUGCUGUGUGAGGAGAGGAGGAGCUAGGUUAGUGAUUUAACAUCUGUCUAUGUGCUGUGUGAGGAGAGGAGGAGCUAGGUUAGUGAUUUAACAUCUGUCUAUGUGCUGUGUGAGGGGAGGAGGAGCUAGGUUAGUGAUUUAACAUCUGUCUAUGUGCUGUGUGAGGGGAGGAGGAGCUAGGUUAGUGAUUUAACAUCUGUCUAUGUGCUGUGUGAGGAGAGGAGGAGCUAGGUUAGUGAUUUAACAUCUGUCUAUGUGCUGUGUGAGGGGAGGAGGAGCUAGGUUAGUGAUUUAACAUCUGUCUAUGUGCUGUGUGAGCAGGAGCUAGGUUAGUGAUUUAACAUCUGUCUAUGUGCUGUGUGAGGGGAGGAGGAGCUAGGUUAGUGAUUUAACAUCUGUCUAUGUGCUGUGUGAGGAGAGGAGGAGCUAGGUUAGUGAUUUAACAUCUGUCUAUGUGCUGUGUGAGGGGAGGAGGAGCUAGGUUAGUGAUUUAACAUCUGUCUAUGUGCUGUGUGAGGAGAGGAGGAGCUAGGUUAGUGAUUUAACAUCUGUCUAUGUGCUGUGUGAGGGGAGGAGGAGCUAGGUUAGUGAUUUAACAUCUGUCUAUGUGCUGUGUGAGGGGAGGAGGAGCUAGGUUAGUGAUUUAACAUCUGUCUAUGUGCUGUGUGAGGAGGAGCU
Oncorhynchus keta (chum salmon) is the source of this 1246-nucleotide long non-coding RNA. RefSeq lists it as uncharacterized. The record is from RefSeq and is a predicted model, not a curated record. Lineage: Eukaryota; Metazoa; Chordata; Actinopteri; Salmoniformes; Salmonidae. The transcript is spliced from 6 exons.